RNAcentral lists this long non-coding RNA (561 nucleotides) under Olea europaea subsp. europaea. Lineage: Eukaryota; Viridiplantae; Streptophyta; Magnoliopsida; Lamiales; Oleaceae. The record is from RNAcentral.
UCACACGAAAUUUGCAAGGUUACUAAAUUACUGCAUUUGUUACAAGGUUAUUACAUUAGACUCGAAGGCUAAAAGCACAGCAUAUGUUAUCUAGCUUCAUGAGUAGUAGGUUUACUAUGAUUUUCAAGAGGAUAAGAAAGAGUGUGUCUAAUAAGCCUUAGUACCUAAAAAGUACUUACUUACAACCUCCUAUAAUUACUAUUCCUCCAUAUUUUUUGGCAGCCUGAUUGCAGUCGAUAGCGCCUUGCUUGCUCGGACCAACCUGAUUUCUCCCCUUUUCAUUCUGUUGGCGUUCUUGGCGAUUAUUCAGACCCCUUUUUUGGGGCAAGCACUCCUUCACGAUUUCAAAUUCUGCGCCAAUCUUUACAAGAUUUUCUUGAUGUGCCAUGUCAAAUUUUAACUGCUCUCAAAGAUGUGAAACAGCUGGUCUUUUGUGUUGUUUGUGAUGACAAUAUUGCCAAAUGAUGGUCUUUAUAUAGAUUUCCGAUGUAUAACAUCUAGACAGGUCAAGCUUUUUUGGGAUGUUAGAGUAUUUCCAAGACUCUUUAAACAUAAGGUGCU